AUUGAACGCUGGCGGCAGGCCUAACACAUGCAAGUCGAGCGGAUGAAGGGAGCUUGCUCCUGGAUUCAGCGGCGGACGGGUGAGUAAUGCCUAGGAAUCUGCCUGGUAGUGGGGGAUAACGUCCGGAAACGGGCGCUAAUACCGCAUACGUCCUGAGGGAGAAAGGGGGGGAUCUUCGGACCUCACGCUAUCAGAUGAGCCUAGGUCGGAUUAGCUAGUUGGUGGGGUAAAGGCCUACCAAGGCGACGAUCCGUAACUGGUCUGAGAGGAUGAUCAGUCACACUGGAACUGAGACACGGUCCAGACUCCUACGGGAGGCAGCAGUGGGGAAUAUUGGACAAUGGGCGAAAGCCUGAUCCAGCCAUGCCGCGUGUGUGAAGAAGGUCUUCGGAUUGUAAAGCACUUUAAGUUGGGAGGAAGGGCAGUAAGUUAAUACCUUGCUGUUUUGACGUUACCAACAGAAAAAGCACCGGCUAACUUCGUG
RNAcentral lists this ribosomal RNA (484 nucleotides) under uncultured bacterium. RNAcentral's name for it is "partial 16S ribosomal RNA". It matches the Rfam family "Bacterial small subunit ribosomal RNA", at positions 30 to 507 of the family's 1533-position model. The record is from RNAcentral.